Molecule: small nucleolar RNA, 72 nt
Organism: Panthera leo (lion)
Lineage: Eukaryota; Metazoa; Chordata; Mammalia; Carnivora; Felidae
Source: Ensembl
UGGAUCGAUGAUGACCACUGGUGGCGUAUGAGUCGUUCACGAUGAAUACGUGUCUGGAACUCUGAGGUCCAA